RNAcentral lists this ribosomal RNA (461 nucleotides) under uncultured bacterium. Its description in RNAcentral is "partial 16S ribosomal RNA". It matches the Rfam family "Bacterial small subunit ribosomal RNA", at positions 338 to 795 of the family's 1533-position model. The record is from RNAcentral.
CCUACGGGUGGCAGCAGUGAGGAAUAUUGGUCAAUGGGCGCGAGCCUGAACCAGCCAAGUCGCGUGAGGGAUGACGGUCCUACGGAUUGUAAACCUCUUUUGCCGGGGAGCAAGCGUGCGUUCGUGAACGCGCGUCGAGAGUACCCGGAGAAAAAGCAUCGACUAACUCCGUGCCAGCAGCCGCGGUAAUACGGAGGAUCCGAGCGUUAUCCGGAUUUAUUGGGUUUAAAGGGUGCGUAGGCGGCCUUUUAAGUCAGCGGUGAAAGUCUGUGGCUCAACCAUAGAAUUGCCGUUGAAACUGGGGGGCUUGAGUAUGUUUGAGGCAGGCGGAAUGCGGGGUGUAGCGGUGAAAUGCGUAGAUAUCACGCAGAACCCCGAUUGCGAAGGCAGCCUGCCAAGCCAUGACUGACGCUGAUGCACGAAAGCGUGGGGAACAAACAGGAUUAGAUACCCUAGUAGUC